Long non-coding RNA from Dicentrarchus labrax (European seabass), 428 nucleotides. RefSeq lists it as uncharacterized. The record is from RefSeq and is a predicted model, not a curated record. NCBI's taxonomy places the organism in Eukaryota, Metazoa, Chordata, Actinopteri, Moronidae. The transcript is spliced from 3 exons.
GUUUCCAUUGACUAGGCGGACCUGCCCCUCACCUCCUGGGCUUGUUGUGGUAGUGCUGUUGACCUGAUUGGCAGCAGAGGUCUGUGGUCUUGGAUCAGGUGUAGUUGUAGAAACUCCAGUGGCUGUUGUGUUCACCUCUGUUUACAAUGAAAAACAGUGAGGUCCUGCUGCUAAGCCAAUUGUAUUUGUUCAUAAAUUGUUUGUCUGAUUUAAGAACAAGAUAAAAAUAGUUACUUCACCAGCCUAAAACACGUAAAUGAAUGGGUUAGAGGAGAAAGUUGAAUUUGUUGCUACAGUGUUAAAUAUGUUUUAAAUGGAGUUAUACCUGCACAGUAUGCAAGAUGACAUACUGAUGGCUGCACAAGUUUGUAGACGUAGAAGUUUCCAUAACAGAGCUUGACAUGGAUGAUGUGUGAGGAAAAAUAGCA